UACGUAGGGUGCAAGCGUUAUCCGGAAUCACUGGGCGUAAAGGGCGCGUAGGCGGAUCUUUAAGUCGGGGGUGAAAGCCUGUGGCUCAACCACAGAAUUGCCUUCGAUACUGAAGAUCUCGAGACCGGAAGAGGUAAGUGGAACUGCGAGUGUAGAGGUGAAAUUCGUAGAUAUUCGCAAGAACACCAGUGGCGAAGGCGGCUUACUGGUCCGGUUCUGACGCUGAGGCGCGAAAGCGUGGGGAGCAAACGGG
Molecule: ribosomal RNA, 253 nt
Filed under: uncultured bacterium
Lineage: Bacteria
Description: partial 16S ribosomal RNA
Rfam family: Bacterial small subunit ribosomal RNA
Source: RNAcentral